GACGAACCGUGCGAACGUUGUUCGGAUUCACUGGGCUUAAAGGGCGCGUAGGCGGACGGUCAAGUCAGGGGUGAAAUCUUUCAGCUCAACUGGAAAAGUGCCUCUGAUACUGAUCGUCUCGAGGGAGGUAGGGGCAUGUGGAACUUCCGGUGGAGCGGUGAAAUGCGUAGAUAUCGGAAGGAACGCCGGUGGCGAAAGCGACGUGCUGGACCCCUUCUGACGCUGAGGUGCGAAAGCGUGGGGAGCAAACAGG
RNAcentral lists this ribosomal RNA (253 nucleotides) under uncultured bacterium. RNAcentral's name for it is "partial 16S ribosomal RNA". It matches the Rfam family "Bacterial small subunit ribosomal RNA", at positions 524 to 776 of the family's 1533-position model. The record is from RNAcentral.